This 203-nucleotide ribosomal RNA is filed under the name uncultured bacterium. Its description in RNAcentral is "partial 16S ribosomal RNA". It matches the Rfam family "Bacterial small subunit ribosomal RNA", at positions 328 to 539 of the family's 1533-position model. The record is from RNAcentral.
ACGCUCGACACCUACGGGGGGCAGCAGUGGGGAAGUAUUGCACAAUGGGGGAAACCCGUACGAUGCAGCGACGCCGCGUGAGCGAAGAAGUAUUUCGGUAUGUAAAGCUCUAUCAGCAGGGAAGAAGAAAGACGGUACCUGACUAAGAAGCCCCGGCUAACUACGUGCCAGUAGCCGCGGUAAUCUGAGCGGGCUGGCAAGGC